AGUAUUCCGCGGACCGGCGGUGGGUCCGCAGCCCUGGCUGUUUUGCAAAAAUUAGGUCAUCCGCACCGACCCCUCCACGUAUCACCAUCGGUACCGAGAGUACGGUAUGGUUCACGCGGUUACACAAAGGUCAGAGCAAUGUUUUAGCGUAAUAUUUCUUCUACCAUUUUCAGUUAACCGCCGCAAUAAUGAAUGUUUAAACGUCGAAGCAAAUACGAAUAGCGAAAUAAAUAAACUCCCUGAUCUAAAACGCAACGUUCGAAUUGAACUCACCUCGCUGAAGAUGGAUGCGAUGCAUUAAAAUGUAUACUAGAACGCGAGAAGAGCGCUUCGAGAUCUCGAAAACAACUCUGCGAUAAUUUAUUGAUCACAAAUCGGUAUUUCGAUAUGGCGUAUCGCGCAGUCCUUCUCGCUGCAUCUCGAUACCCGUCCCCGUAUCGUAGUGAUUACAGACGAGUAUCGGAUAAUUGGAUAAUUAGCGUGCACGGCCAAUCUAGCUGUUGGAACCGUCAGUGUCACUUGAACAGAAACGAUCAUUUCGUACAUGACUGCACGUACGUGACGCACUGGCGCACAUAAUGCGGCGCACGCAAGCUGUCAUUGACAUCGAUAAAUGACCGUUAAAGUGUUAAAAGUACCGUCUUAUUCAAUCAAUUAGUCUCACGACAAUGAUGUACGUAAAUGAUGAUAAUCGCGUGUAAAAGAACGUAUCAUAAAAUCAGACAUGUACAAUACAUUACCACUGAAAAACAUUAUUUAUAAGCCGACUCUUUGUAUAUAGAGAAAUAAUUGAAGAUAAAUGCCGCGAGGGAGUUUUAAUGAACAAAUAAUAACAAACAGUAUAUGCGAAAACCAAUCAGCUUCGGCAUCUCAUAUGAGUGUAGAUCGACUUGAUGCUGAAAACACGGGAGAUAUAAUGAGAGCUACUGUGUGAUCCCACGUGAAAUUUCCGUCGUCAUCAUCUCUCUUUCUCUGAUAUAAGAGAUAUUAUAGAAGAAUAAGAGCCACAACCUACCGAUAAAAACCGGCACUAAGCUCCAGACACAUGUUUUUACGACGCCAAAGACGUAGAAGCAUUACAUCCUUUUACGAUACCACCCCCAUUUUAUGAUCGUUGCGUGUUUCUCAUUGCGGUCUAUUUAUUUAUUUAUUUAUGUACUUGUAUCACUAGUAUGCACAUAAAUGCAUUAGUUUAAAUUAACGUGUAUUUCUAACCUCCUUUGGUACUAUUUUUUAAACUUUGGGUGAUUGCGUGAAAUUGCACAAUAUCACAGGCAAUUAUUUUCAUCAAAAUAACGCUUGUAAAUUUUUUCUUAUAAAGAAGAUUAACUUAAUCUUUUAAAUCUCCAAUUUUUUUGUUCAUCGAGGACAAAAUUAUAACAUUAAUCUAUUGCUUAAAUUAAAGACUUUUUGUAGAUUAAGUUCGAACUAUUUUAGGUUAAUAACAAAAAUAUUAAUCCUUAAUAUAAAAAAACAAACAUAAAUAUUUCAUAUUUGAUCAAUUUCUAUCUAUAAAAGUUUCUUAAAAUUUCCCUUUCUUUAUUUCUUUUGAAAAAAUUUUAUAGUUAAGGUGACUUAUACGAUAAGGUAACCGAGAGAUCCUACUUCAAUUUUUCUACAAACACUACCAAUUUUAUUUUUGUAUCAGAUAUCAAUAUCAGAUGUAUGUAAUAAACAUUGAUUUUUAUAAAAAGUGAAAGUUCUUUUUUAAUUAUUCAUAUCGUAAAUAUUCCAUUUUCAUUCUAAAUUAGUGUCAAUUUUCGUUUAAAAAUUAUUUUUCUAAAAAAAAAAUUUGUUUUAAAGAAACCUAUUUAAAAAGGAGAUUUAAAAAUCAUUGAAUAUUUAAAAAAUACUUCUUUUUCGUGAUUUUUCUAGUUCAUAUCACUUAUGUUCAUAAAUUAUUAGAGAUUUUAAUUACUUCAAAUAAGUCAAAAAGUGAACGAAAUGUCCAUAUAAUAAGAGAUAAGAUACCGUAUUUUUAUGUUAUAUUGUAAGAGUUAAAUAAAAAAAUUCAUUAAAGAAAAGGUGAUACGUUUUAUUACCGUGUACGUUGUUUGUCCUUCAUUGCGCGUUUAUUUAAUAUCAAUCUCCCGACAAAGCAAUGCUUCUACAAUAUAUUCUGAUCGUCAAAAAUUAUACAGAUUUAGUCGAGAAAAUCGUAUAAAAAAAAAGAUAUUAACGGAUCAAUUUUCCAUAGGUAUCGGUACUAUCACCAGACUCAAUGAAGUUUAUAUCGUUCGAACCGUAUGUUCCUGAAAGGGCAAACCUCCCGAUAAUUCCAUAUAUGUUCUAAUCUGACCAGAAAUAGAGAUUACUUAGUGAUUUUGCCGACAGCAAUUUAUCGAUAUAUUGGCACGCAACCUGUCCGAUAAUAAAGAGUAAAUAAAGACUAAAAUAGAUUAUGCUCUCGUUGCAGGAAAAACUCCAUAAGAGAAGUGGUAAGCUCGAAAGGCCGAUCAUAUGCAACAAACGAGAAUGAAAAUAAUGCACAAAACAGACUCUCUUCGUUACAUUAAUAUUGAAGCUAAUAAAUUAUUAUUUACUUUCAGUGAUUGUUCAUUUGUGUGUACAAUACAUUCAUAGAAAUUGUAUAAAACAAUAAUCACGGAAUAUAAUUGAUAAUUUGAGCAUUGAUGGAAGAGCUUGAGCGUGAUCAUUUUGGCGCAACGCUAACGAACGUGUACGGGUUGUAAAUAUCAACGAACGUUGUUGGCUCAUGUUGAUACAAUGUAACGGCAAUUCGCAUGCAAUUGGCGAGAUGUUAUAGGCCAUUAGAGUUGUUCUCGCAUAAAGCACACAGCGCGAUGUAAACCCAGACUGAGCGUAACAAGUUGAUAUAUACGCGCAAUAACAGGAUGUUUAUGCAUAAUGCAAACGGUAGGUAAGUUGUUGAGGUAAGUUCCAAAUACCUCGCGCACAAGACAUUCGCAGGGAUCCCAAGUGGCUGAAAUUCUUUCCUUCUUGUGGGAAUUCGUUCCCCGCCGCGAACGUGAUCCGCGAAAUAUUCUCAUUGGUGCCGGUGUGCACAUAUGACGGCGCAUACAUGACAAUACACGCGCAAGGCGACGCCUCACUACGAGAGUAUCACGGACCACCUAUUGUUACCAAAUUUACUUCACAACCCGACGGAAAAUCGAUACGCUUCAGAUGACUUCGUGUAUCACAUUACUCGCGCACUGAUAUUCUUUUUCUAACGUUUAAUACGUAACGGCUUUACGUAUCACAUUACCAGUUACAAAAAUAUAUAGUCACGAAACUAAUUGUUCAGGCACGGUGAGUUUAUUUUAUGUUAUUUUUAAAUUCACCAAAUAUUAUAAUUCUUAAGGAAAAACUCGAUUUAAAGUAAAAAAACUCUUGCUAGUGACUCUUUGAAGAUUUAUGUGACUAUUCGACUAAAUCUUAAUUACGAUAAAUGAUUUAUAUUAUGUAAUAUAAAAUAAAAUCUUGGAUUUUUUCUUUCUCUAAAAUAUAAAAAAUAUAGACAUACCGAGUAAAAAAUCAACAGAAUAAAAUAACAUAUAUAUCAGCAAUAGAAGACAAAUAUUCCUUAGAGCAUGAAAUGCGAAUAUGUCAUUCUGUCGUAAGAUAAUAUGGCAACCUGAAGAUAAUUAUCUAUAUGAGUGCAGACGGAACAGAAUCCUAGCUAUUCUCCAGCAGGAAAUUUGAAAACGUUAACCAGUGAAGAAUACCGAGGUUUGUACUUUCAAUCAAAUCAAGGUUGAACUAGUAGCGAACUGUAAUUUGAUUUCUUUGCAUGAAUAAAACAUUUUCCGCGAAAUUAA
Molecule: long non-coding RNA, 3782 nt
Filed under: Monomorium pharaonis (pharaoh ant)
Lineage: Eukaryota; Metazoa; Arthropoda; Insecta; Hymenoptera; Formicidae
Description: uncharacterized LOC114255175, transcript variant X2
Source: RNAcentral